RNAcentral lists this ribosomal RNA (119 nucleotides) under Pteropus alecto (black flying fox). The record is from RNAcentral. Lineage: Eukaryota; Metazoa; Chordata; Mammalia; Chiroptera; Pteropodidae.
GUCUACAGCCAUGCCCACCCUGAAAGUGCUUGAUCCUGUCUGAUUUGGAAGCUAAGCAGGGUUGGGCCUGGUUAGUACUUGGAUGGGAGACCACCUAGGAAGACCAAGUGCUGUAGACG